This 433-nucleotide ribosomal RNA is filed under the name uncultured bacterium. Its description in RNAcentral is "partial 16S ribosomal RNA". It matches the Rfam family "Bacterial small subunit ribosomal RNA", at positions 29 to 507 of the family's 1533-position model. The record is from RNAcentral.
AACGAACGCUGGCGGCAGGCCUAACACAUGCAAGUCGAGCGAGGACUUCGGUCCUAGCGGCGGACGGGUGAGUAACGCGUGGGAACGUGCCCUUUGCUUCGGAAUAGCCCUGGGAAACUGGGAGUAAUACCGGAUGAGCCCUUUGGGGGAAAGAUUUAUCGGCGAAGGAUCGGCCCGCGUUGGAUUAGGUAGUUGGUGGGGUAAUGGCCUACCAAGCCGACGAUCCAUAGCUGGUUUGAGAGGAUGAUCAGCCACACUGGGACUGAGACACGGCCCAGACUCGUACGGGAGGCAGCAGUGGGGAAUCUUAGACAAUGGGGGAAACCCUGAUCUAGCCAUGCCGGGUGAGCGAUGAAGGCCUUAGGGUUGUAAAGCUCUUUCAGCUGGGAAGAUAAUGACGGUACCAGCAGAAGAAGCCCCGGCUAACUCCGUG